RNAcentral lists this ribosomal RNA (253 nucleotides) under uncultured bacterium. RNAcentral's name for it is "partial 16S ribosomal RNA". It matches the Rfam family "Bacterial small subunit ribosomal RNA", at positions 524 to 776 of the family's 1533-position model. The record is from RNAcentral.
UACGAAGGGGGCUAGCGUUGUUCGGAUUUAUUGGGCGUAAAGCGCACGUAGGCGGAUUGUUAAGUCGGGGGUGAAAUCCUGGAGCUCAACUCCAGAACUGCCUUCGAUACUGGCAAUCUCGAGUCCGGAAGAGGUAAGUGGAACUCCUAGUGUAGAGGUGGAAUUCGUAGAUAUUAGGAAGAACACCAGUGGCGAAGGCGGCUUACUGGUCCGGUACUGACGCUGAGGUGCGAAAGCGUGGGGAGCAAACAGG